GUGUCAGCAGCCGCGGUAAUACGGAGGGUGCGAGCGUUAAUCGGAAUUACUGGGCGUAAAGCGCACGUAGGCGGUCAUGUAAGUGGGAUGUGAAACCCCCGGGCUUAACCUGGGACUUGCAUACCAGACUGCAUGGCUAGAGUAUGAGAGAGGGUGGUGGAAUUUCCGGUGUAGCGGUGAAAUGCGUAGAGAUCGGAAGGAACAUCAGUGGCGAAGGCGGCCACCUGGCUUAAUACUGACGCUGAGGUGCGAAAGCGUGGGGAUCAAACAGGAUUAGAUACCCUGGUAGUCCACGCCGUAAACGAUGAGAACUAGCCGUUGGAUUCCUUAGAGGAUUUAGUGGCGCAGCUAACGCGAUAAGUUCUCCGCCUGGGGAGUACGGCCGCAAGGUUAAA
This 395-nucleotide ribosomal RNA is filed under the name uncultured bacterium. Its description in RNAcentral is "bacterial SSU rRNA". It matches the Rfam family "Bacterial small subunit ribosomal RNA", at positions 505 to 898 of the family's 1533-position model. The record is from RNAcentral.